AAUCUCCUGCAGCGUUCGAGCAGUACUGGGUGUUUCCUGAACCUGCAUUUGCCCCGGAAGCUUUUUACCCGUCAUGGUGUGCAUGCCUGUUCGUUCAGGAAGCCUGAUUGGCGGGAAUCGGUUUCCACUUGAACCUCCGGUUCAAGGACGAAAGUAUCAGACGGCGCAGGCGGGAGAUCU
Molecule: non-coding RNA, 180 nt
Filed under: Methylomonas koyamae
Lineage: Bacteria; Pseudomonadati; Pseudomonadota; Gammaproteobacteria; Methylococcales; Methylococcaceae
Also listed under: 3 other names
Description: 6S RNA
Rfam family: 6S / SsrS RNA
About the family: E. coli 6S RNA was the first non coding RNA to be sequenced, but its function was unknown until recently.
Source: RNAcentral